UGCCAGCCGCCGCGGUAAUACGAAGGGUGCUAGCGUUGUUCGGAAUUACUGGGCGUAAAGAGCAUGUAGGCGGAUGAAUUAGUCAGGGGUGAAAUCCCGGGGCUCAACCCCGGAACUGCCUUUGAUACUGGUAGUCUAGAGUUCGAGAGAGGUGAGUGGAAUUCCGAGUGUAGAGGUGAAAUUCGUAGAUAUCCGGAGGAACACCAGUGGCGAAGGCGGCUCACUGGCUCGAUACUGACGCUGAGGUGCGAAAGCGUGGGGAGCAAACAGGAUUAGAUA
RNAcentral lists this ribosomal RNA (279 nucleotides) under uncultured bacterium. RNAcentral's name for it is "partial 16S ribosomal RNA". It matches the Rfam family "Bacterial small subunit ribosomal RNA", at positions 506 to 784 of the family's 1533-position model. The record is from RNAcentral.